Molecule: ribosomal RNA, 507 nt
Filed under: Sporosarcina sp. CL3.134
Lineage: Bacteria; Bacillati; Bacillota; Bacilli; Caryophanales; Caryophanaceae
Also listed under: 1 other name
Description: bacterial SSU rRNA
Rfam family: Bacterial small subunit ribosomal RNA
Source: RNAcentral
CCCUGGCUCAGGACGAACGCAGGCGGCGUGCCUAAUACAUGCAAGUCGAGCGGAAUGAUGAAGAAGCUUGCUUCUUCUGAUUUUAGCGGCGGACGGGUGAGUAACACGUGGGCAACCUACCUUGUAGAUUGGGAUAACUCCGGGAAACCGGGGCUAAUACCGAAUAAUCCAUUUUGCUUCAUGGCAAGAUGUUGAAAGGCGGCUUCGGCUGUCACUACGAGAUGGGCCCGCGGCGUAUUAGCUAGUUGGUAGGGUAAUGGCCUACCAAGGCGACGAUACGUAGCCGACCUGAGAGGGUGAUCGGCCACACUGGGACUGAGACACGGCCCAGACUCCUACGGGAGGCAGCAGUAGGGAAUCUUCCACAAUGGACGAAAGUCUGAUGGAGCAACGCCGCGUGAGUGAAGAAGGUUUUCGGAUCGUAAAACUCUGUUGUAAGGGAAGAACACGUACGAGAGUAACUGCUCGUACCUUGACGGUACCUUAUUAGAAAGCCACGGCUAACUA